UACUGGUUGUUUGUGUUAUCAUGUUUUACUUUCAUUCUUUAUGAUUCCAUCUGUCAGACCUUCAAAAACACAAACAUGACAAAAUAAAUAUAAAAUUAUAUUUUUUUUAUUUAAACAAACGAUAACUAGACUGUGGAACAUGAAGUUCACCCAGAUUUCUUAAUCCAGUUUUAAGAUUAUAACAAUUUCACCAAAAUGCCAACUUAUAAAGAAUAUGACAUUUGUUCUGGACGUAGAGCCCAAAAAAGCUACUCCAUCAAAGAAAUACUUGGCGUCAUCUUUACGUACAUUAUAUUCAUAGUGGUUAGAACAAUACCAUUGCUCUGUUAUCUAUGCCUGGGCGUCUCAUAUAUCAUUUGCCAGAGUCUCUGUUGUUUCGUGUUUUGCUCCUGACUAAUUUUCCAACUUUAAGCUGCGUUCUACUGAAAAUUGUUAAAUAGUUAUGUUUAAGUCGGAACAAUAUAAUUUUAAUACAGA
Long non-coding RNA from Pieris napi, 477 nucleotides. RefSeq lists it as uncharacterized. NCBI's taxonomy places the organism in Eukaryota, Metazoa, Arthropoda, Insecta, Lepidoptera, Pieridae. The transcript has 2 exons. The record is from RefSeq and is a predicted model, not a curated record.